GAACGGGCAAAAGAAAGAAAGAGGCAGGUAAGGGGAGGCGAGGCCGUCCAAAAACGCUGGGUGUCAGCCCGGGGUGGCUAAUGGAGGGCGGCUUUUCUGGUGGGAUGAAAUGGAACGGCAAAUCCCACUUCAUCCCCUUUGGGCUAUGACAACAUCAUAGUCCAAUCUCCCAUUUUAUGAACAGGGAAACUGAGGCUCAGUGACUAGACAGACGUUGCCCAGAGUCAUGGUCAUGGAGGAAGCUUGUGCUAGAAUGGUGGAGAGGAAACCAGAGCCCAGCUCCUAAUGCAAGGCUCUUUCAUUCCUUUAGCCACCCUCGCCCCCGCCAAAACAAACAGACAAAAAACUGUCAUUCUCAUAUGACCACGGACUCUGCGCCCCGGCCGCAGGCGGAGGACAGGGAGGAGCGCACACGAGAAAGCUCCCACGCGCCCGCGCCUCGCCUCCGACGGGAAGGCGCCUCUUCCGACCGUCCUGGAUGCAAAUUAAAUACUUCCCUCCGCAGAAGACUUAUCUCGGGGUAGGGCCGCAGCCGGAUUUCCAAAUCGCGGGUUUGAUUUUCGCUGCGUCCUCUCCGCGACGCGCGCAGGGAGCGCGCCCGGCCACCUGCAGCCUCUGGCUGCGGCCAUCUUUCCGCCUGGGGCCACCUGGCCUGCGCCCUUUGUGCCCGGCCCGCUCCGUGACUGUUCUUCUUGCCGCUACUUACAGAACUCAGCCGCCUUAGCGUCUUAGAGAAGAGGACGGCAUGCAUGCGGACCCCGUCCACCACACCUGGAGAGCAGGGAGCCCUUAGUCCCUGGACACUUACCAGGGCCGCCACCCCUGGUCCACGCACGUGAUGACAUCUCACCAGGGGCAGCACACCGCCCGAGUCCGCGACACUGAUAACACCUCCUGCGGGCAGGAGGGCGCCACAGCCACCCCUGGUCCCCUAGAUUGUGUGAGGCUAGCAUUUCUGCCCGCCUCUUGGCGUGGACAGCACGCUGGACCGAGAUGGAACCACAGCUUUCUCUUCCCAAUCCCUGGCCUCACCGUUUUGUUUCAUACCUCACCGUUUGUUUCAAACCUCGUGGUGUUGAAAUGAUUAAAUGAGAUUAAGGGGUGUGUGGUAGUGUUGGGCAAACCACAAGAAAACGGUCUGGGUGGGGUCUGGCCCUAAAAUCUUCCUCCCCCACCUCCCAGGCUUCCUUGCCUUGCUGCUUCCUCUCAGCCUUUAAACAGGUUGGCCUCUCCAAGUCCUAAAAACAAAAUUAUCAAGCCAACCUCCUCCUGAAGUGCUCCCUCCAACUAGCUUCCAAGUGUUUCAUGCGGACCUCAAACAAUGGUCUUCCCUGGCUGCCUCUGCUUCCUCAUUUCUCAACACUUGGCAUUCUGGCUUCUCCUCCCCAACUCUAACCCUUCACCUUGCUCAGGCAAGAGCAACUCAUGACUUUCAUUUUGCCAAACCUUGCAGGCAUUCCUCAGGCCUUAUCUCUCUGGUUCUUUCUGCUACAUUUGACACCUUGGGAUGACUCUCACCUUCUGGAAUCUCUCUACUACCUUGGUUUCAGAAGAGUGAACCCUCUGGAUUAUCACAUGAAGCUACUUCCUGUGAGCAGCCCAGGGAUGGCCAGUCACUUGUGACCUACUUUCAGAGCUGGCAGUUCUGACUUCUAGAACAAACUCGGAACAAGCCCAUCUACAGCUGGUUGACUGAGUUUCCUUUGGGCUCCUGGCACCAGAAAGAAUUGCUCACUGGAAGGAUCAUAGGUGGCACUCAUGUCUCACUGCCCCACUCAGGUAUGUAGAUUUUCAUUGCCCUAUAAACCACAGUCAACAUCUCAAGAUCUCCAGAAGGAUGUUUAUGAUCUUCUAUUUGCUAAAGACAGUUGCUUCCUUACGGUAAUUGCUUUAAAAGGUGGGGCACCGUGGCUCACAUGGGACCUCGUCUCUAAAAAAUAAAAAAAUUAGCCAUGUGUGGUGGCGUGCAUCUGUAGUCCCAUCCCAGCUACUCAGGCUGAGGCAGAAGGAUCGCUUGAGCCCAGGAGAUCAAGGCUACAGUGAGCUGUGAUGAUGUCACUGCAUUCCAGCCCGGGCGACAGAGCAAGACCCUGUCUCUAAAACAACAAAACAAAACAGAACCAUUAGCUCUUCUUUUUUGUUUUGUUUUGUUUUGUUUUGUUUUCCUCAGAGCAGAGAUGCCUCACUGUGAUAGGUAAAUUAAGGUGAUACUGAUUGCCAGCUCCAGUGUGGAAGUCCCGAGGUGAAGGAAUUUCUUUCAUAAACAUUUCAAAAGUGAGUCGAUCCAGAAUACACCUCCACCAUGAGAUUACCUGUAAUCUAAUUCAACCUAGAAGAUGGAGUCCAAACAGCUUGAGGUUCUGCAGAUUUCACAACAGCAGCCACAAAAUGAAAGUGAAGAAGGCUUUGGCCAGGCACGGUGGCUCACGCCUGUAAUCCCAGCACUUUGGGAGGCCGAGGCGGGUGGAUCAUCUGAAGUCGGGAGUGUGAGACUAGCCUGAUGCACGUGGAGAAACCCCAUCUCUACUAAAAAUACAAAAGUAGCCAGGUGUGGUGGCGCAUUCCUGUAAUCCCAGCUACUCAGGAGGCUGAACCAGGAGAAUCGCUUGAACCCAGGAGGCAGAGGUUGCAGUGAGCUGAGAUCGCGCCAUUGCAUUCCAGCCUGGGCAACAAGAACAAAACUCCAUCUGAAAAAAAAAAAAGAAAGUGAACAAGGCUUUAAGGUGGAGCACACUAGAAACAUCUUGCUAUUUCCACGUGUCUCUUUGUCACUACACUCCUUAAAUACACUUAAAUAGCUCAUAUUAACAACAGACACAACCAAUGUAAAACCUCUUGGGGCUUUAUAAGAAGUUUCCUAAAGUUAAUGCUGUAGAUUCCUCAUGAUCAUUUCAAAACUAAUGUGAUUUCUUUAGGGUACCUUUAAUUACACUUAUGACCUUGGUUUCAUUUUAAAAAUAUACAUACAUUUAAAGAAGACUGAGGACCCUAAGGAUCUCAAAUAUCCCUUCGACGGGUACCUAAUAGCUGUUUUUGAUUCCUGAGAUACUUGGUUUUAUCUCUCCUUUAGAAACAAAAAUUAUGCUCAGCUGUAACCUCGUCCAGCUCUACCAACUCAGAUAUUCACAGGCUGAUUUCAAGCUCCAAGAGAAAAAGUAGAGUCACGUUUACCUUUUUAUCCCCAACAACAUGUAGCCAUGUUCCCUCCCUAGUUCUGCAUCCUCAGAUCAACCAACCAGGGAUCAAAAAUAUUUAUGAAAAAAAUAACAAUAAAACAAUAAAAAAUACAGUUGACCCUUAAACAGUGUGGGUGUUGAGGGAGCCAGCCGCCAUGCAUUAAAAACUCUGAGUAUAAGUUUCAACACUCAGGCCUGGCGAGGUGGCUCACGCCUGGAAUCCCAGCACUUUGGAAGGCCAAGGCAGACAGAUCACCUGAGGUCAGGAGUUUGAGACUAGCCUGGCCAACGUGAUGAAACCCCAUCUCUACUAAAAAUACAAAAACUAGCCAGGCACCUGUAAUCCCAGCUACUCUGGAGGCUGAGGCAAGAGAAUCGUUUGAACCCAGGAGGCGGAAGUUGCAGUGAGCCGAGAUGAUGCCACUGCACUCCGCACUGGACAACAGAGUGAGACUCUGUCUCAAAAUAAAUACAUUAAUUAAUAAUAAAUAAAAAGUACAAAAAAUUAGCUGGGUGUGGUGGCACACACCUGUGGUACCAACUACUUGGUAGGCUAAGGUGAGAGGAGUGCUUGAGCCCAGGAGAUCAAGGUUGCAUCGAGUCGAGAUCGAACCAUUA
Molecule: long non-coding RNA, 3794 nt
Organism: Homo sapiens (human)
Lineage: Eukaryota; Metazoa; Chordata; Mammalia; Primates; Hominidae
Gene: ATP13A3-DT
Product: ATP13A3 divergent transcript
Source: Ensembl